This is a long non-coding RNA of Mytilus trossulus (common blue mussel), 1688 nucleotides long. RefSeq lists it as uncharacterized. The transcript is spliced from 4 exons. Lineage: Eukaryota; Metazoa; Mollusca; Bivalvia; Mytilida; Mytilidae. The record is from RefSeq and is a predicted model, not a curated record.
AGAGCCAUUCUCUGUAAGGACCAAAAUUAGUGUUCACACCUAUGUCACAGAUUUUUACCAUUCUUUGUACACAUACUACAUAACUAACAUACUUUACAAAUAACACUUUAAAAAUUGAUUUUGGGCUUUGUUACUAUGGAAAUGGCGGCCAUUUUGAUUUUGGGCUUUUUUUUCAAUGAAAAUAUGAAAAAAAUUCCUAAAUAUCAAUGAUAAUUUUCCCGUAAUCCUGACAGUAAAUGAUGCAGACAAUUAUCACAUCUGAAAGCUGUUACCUUUGCCUUUUAAAAAAUAUAUUACAUAUUUGGCUGACAAUUGUGUACAUAUGCUUAUUUUCUAUAGGAGAAGGGGGUGAUUCUGGCAUCUAAAUGAAAACCAAAUUUCACCAAAAUUCAUUGAAGCUUUGAAAACAUUUCCGAGAUAGUUUUUUGAAAAUAUUGUCAAAAUCAUAAAGAUAAACCCCCCAUUUAAAAAUUAAAAAAAAUUCAGGGAUGUGUUUUUUGAUUUAAGAAAAAAAAUGUGGAUUGAAAACUUGAAAAAAUAAACUAUGUGUCUAUGAAUUAUCUCCCCUUUAUGGUUCUUCUUCAUUGAAAACAUAAAGAAACAACAGGAAGUACAAGGGUUAAUGCCCAAAAUAAAGUGCAGACGAAAUGCAGACACUGAUAAAACCAUUACAAUGUUGGUAAAAAUAAGAUAUAUCAAGGUAAAUAGGACUAUGGAGUGAAAUUUCUCUCCAAAGUUUGUGGAUUGUGAUAAACUCAUUUGAUGAACCUCUUGCCAAACAAUGAAACAGUGAAACACAUGCAGUACAUACAUGUACCAAAUGUUUGCUAUUUUUUCUGAGAAUGGUCUUAAACCAUCAGUAGCUCUAGAUCUCCACAUCAAUAUUGUAUUUCAAUUAAAUGAAGAAGAAAAAAUAAUUCAAAUUGUGCACAUCGCAUGUUAUGCCAACAAAAAGUUUUCAUCCAGAUAUUGACCACAUCAACUUGAUCAAGGAUUCUGGACACAAGUCGUUACCUUACAGAACUAGCAUUAAACUAGCAAGUAGUGGACCGAAGGAAAAGGAUUUUAUUCAUCUUAUUAACUAGACAAGAAUCAUGUUGUACUUUGUUUCUGAAGAAAAUAAGAAUAGAUGUCAAUGAUGCAGUACCUGAAGGUUAAAUGAGAGUGAUGUAACACAGGCAAGAAUUUAAGUGAAUGAAACAGCAUCACUUCUAAAAGUAGCAUGGAAUUUUUAUCAUAGAAAUAAUCCAGCAGUUUCCAGAUUAUGAAUUUCACCAUGUUAAUGAGUUUUACAAGCAGUUUGGAUGAGGUGUUUUUCAGAAGAAGAAAUGAGUUCGAAGAAUAUGUAUUCUAAAAGUUCCAAAUCUGUUUAUUGUAAUAGAUUACUUGAAAUAAUGAAGAAAAUUAUUACAACUGUUUUUCCACAAAAUAUAGAAGAUGUCCUUCAUUCACUGACAAUGUAAUUGAGUUCUAAUAACCAGGAACAGAAACCUCAAGUAUUACCAAAAGGUUCAUUUGGUUCUUUUGUUGAUUCAUUGGAAAAGGCUGAAUCUUAGCGCCACUAAAAAAAUACUGUCAUUCUAGACACAGACCAUGUUGUAUAAUCAAGUUUAUCAGAUGCUUCCAGACAUAUCUGAGAAUAAAUGUUAUGUGACAUCUAGCUGCAAAAUAAAACUGAUUUCAAGUUU